UAGAAAAAUAGGACUCGAACCUAUCCCUUAGAGAUCAAAACUCUUCGUACUUCCACUUAUACUAUCUCCUAA
This 72-nucleotide transfer RNA is filed under the name Rhynchobatus laevis (smoothnose wedgefish). Its description in RNAcentral is "tRNA-Gln". The record is from RNAcentral. Lineage: Eukaryota; Metazoa; Chordata; Chondrichthyes; Rhinopristiformes; Rhynchobatidae.